Molecule: long non-coding RNA, 1340 nt
Organism: Physeter macrocephalus (sperm whale)
Lineage: Eukaryota; Metazoa; Chordata; Mammalia; Artiodactyla; Physeteridae
Exons: 5
Source: RefSeq, a predicted model, not a curated record
GUUGCCUUAUCCUCGAAAACAGAAACAACAGUUUAGCUUUUAUUUCUAAAUGUUUAAUGCAUCACCACAGCCACCAUCAUCUGGACCACAGAUGGCAGACGUACUCUCGGGAACACUGUUUCGAAGUAAACAGCAUUUCCUUGAACAGCUUUGUAACAAGGAUACACAGUAUUUCUAUUCCUCUCAGCUCUUCUCUGCAUUUUGCCCAAGUUUACAAGCAUAUGUGGGCUGAGAAUGAUCUCACUAAAGAACAAGUGUAUUCUGUCCAAUUGAGUUAAGGAGAAAACCUAAACUGAAGACUAAAGGAAAAAUCCUUUUAGAGGGGUUCUUUUGGUGGGGCUGGGUUUUUUUGUUUGUUGAAUUUACGUAUAGCUUGCUCAGUCUUUCUGUGUCAUUUCCAUUCCUGUUUUCUUUGCUCAUAAAUACCUGACCAGACAUAAUUCACUUAAUUAACAGCUCUCUAAGUAGAUUGAGUUUGCUGCCUUAGGGGAUAGACACCGAAGGCCAGAAACUCCUGAGUUGGCUGGAAAGGCUCCAGAAGUGUGUCAUCACACACUUGGGCUGAAGAAAUAGAACAGACCGAUAUGCAAAUGACAGAAGCAGAGACUGAGGCCACUGCGGGAAGGAGAGGAGGUAGACAGGAGGUCGAUCUGAUACUUGACCAAAAAAGUAACCAGAGGGAAAAUUAAUAUACUUUUAAAGAUAGAUAGCACCACCUAAAUUAUCACCUGCAGUGAACGGUCAGAUGUUGCUGUAUGUUACCUUUUCUCACGUCGGCACCCCAAAGCAUCCCGAUUAGACAGCUCAAGCUCGGCUUCUGACUCAGGAAAUCUUACAAACCUGACUUCAUUUAUUUAAGCAUCUGCUCUGGGAAAAGCACAAUGCUAGGCAGUGAAAGUAACAAGCUACAAAACUUUGAGUAGAAAAAGGAAACAGAUGUGUAGAAAAACAAAUUAUACUUUGCAAUGUUGCAAAGAACUAAGUGUGGGGAUGAUAAUAGUACACCUCCCUCACAGUGUUGAAGCGAAGAUCACACAACCCUGAAAAAGUGCUAUACGUGUCCGGGUAUAUGAAUGGCUUCCAGGAAUACCACCAUUGUCCGCCAUGCUGACUCAGCCAGUGGUAACACGAAGUGCAGGGUUUGGAAUUUAUGGACCGAAGCUAGUCUGCAGAAAUCUCUUUCAAUUAUCAGGCACACAAAGCAAAAUCGCCCGGCAUGAUCAAUGACUCUUCAAAUAUAAAGCGGUAUCGUUUAUCAUCUCAACAGAGACCGCACGUCACUGUAGUGAAUCUGUUGGUUCUUUGCGGGUUAUGCUGUGAGGUUAAAAUGCCCAAGACUU